This 483-nucleotide ribosomal RNA is filed under the name uncultured bacterium. RNAcentral describes it as "partial 16S ribosomal RNA". It matches the Rfam family "Bacterial small subunit ribosomal RNA", at positions 30 to 506 of the family's 1533-position model. The record is from RNAcentral.
AUUGAACGCUGGCGGCAGGCCUAACACAUGCAAGUCGAGCGGAUGAAGGGAGCUUGCUCCUGGAUUCAGCGGCGGACGGGUGAGUAAUGCCUAGGAAUCUGCCUGGUAGUGGGGGAUAACGUCCGGAAACGGGCGCUAAUACCGCAUACGUCCUGAGGGAGAAAGUGGGGGAUCUUCGGACCUCACGCUAUCAGAUGAGCCUAGGUCGGAUUAGCUAGUUGGUGGGGUAAAGGCCUACCAAGGCGACGAUCCGUAACUGGUCUGAGAGGAUGAUCAGUCACACUGGAACUGAGACACGGUCCAGACUCCUACGGGAGGCAGCAGUGGGGAAUAUUGGAAAAUGGGCGAAAGCCUGAUCCAGCCAUGCCGCGUGUGUGAAGAAGGUCUUCGGAUUGUAAAGCACUUUAAGUUGGGAGGAAGGGCAGUAAGUUAAUACCUUGCUGUUUUGACGUGACCAACAGAAUAAGCACCGGCUAACUGCGU